RNAcentral lists this non-coding RNA (85 nucleotides) under unclassified sequences. Its description in RNAcentral is "skipping-rope RNA". It matches the Rfam family "skipping-rope RNA". Rfam says of the family: Firmicutes, Fusobacteria, AlphaProteobacteria, Spirochaetes. Downstream gene The record is from Rfam by way of RNAcentral.
UAAAAAUGAGGAUAGAGAAUGUGCCGCUAUCGCCCCUUUUAAAAAAGGUAUGGAGAUGUGGGAAAAGGCAGACCCACCGUUUUUU